This 74-nucleotide transfer RNA is filed under the name archaeon. RNAcentral describes it as "tRNA-OTHER". It matches the Rfam family "tRNA". From Rfam's summary of the family: Transfer RNA (tRNA) molecules are approximately 80 nucleotides in length. Their secondary structure includes four short double-helical elements and three loops (D, anti-codon, and T loops). The record is from RNAcentral. RNAcentral also lists the same sequence under 1 other name.
GGGUUGGUGGUGUAUUGGAGGCACGUCAGAUCGUAACUCUGGAAAAGGAGGUUCGAUUCCUUCCCAACCCACCA